This 253-nucleotide ribosomal RNA is filed under the name uncultured bacterium. Its description in RNAcentral is "partial 16S ribosomal RNA". It matches the Rfam family "Bacterial small subunit ribosomal RNA", at positions 524 to 776 of the family's 1533-position model. The record is from RNAcentral.
AACGUAGGAGGCAAGCGUUAUCCGGAGUUACUGGGCGUAAAGAGUGCGUAGGCGGACCUGUAAGUGGGUGGUGAAAGCGCUCGGCUAAACCGGGCGAGGUUCAUUCAGACUGCAGGUCUAGAGGCGGAUAGAGGGGUGCGGAAUUCCGGGUGUAGCGGUGAAAUGUGUAGAGAUCCGGAGGAACACCAGUGGUGCAAACGGCGCCCUGGGUCCGAACUGACGCUGAAGCACGAAAGCGUGGGGAGCGAACGGG